This 419-nucleotide ribosomal RNA is filed under the name uncultured bacterium. RNAcentral's name for it is "bacterial SSU rRNA". It matches the Rfam family "Bacterial small subunit ribosomal RNA", at positions 355 to 774 of the family's 1533-position model. The record is from RNAcentral.
UGGGGAAUAUUGCGCAAUGGCCGAAAGGCUGACGCAGCGACGCCGCGUGGGGGAUGAAGCAUUUCGGUGUGUAAACCCCUGUUGCCCGGGACGAACAAGCAGAUUUUUCUGCUCUGACGGUACCGGGUGAGGAAGCACCGGCUAACUCCGUGCCAGCAGCCGCGGUAAUACGGAGGGUGCGAGCGUUGUCCGGAAUCACUGGGCGUAAAGGGCGCGUAGGCGGUCUGCUAAGCGUGCGGUGAAAGCCCGGGGCUCAACCCCGGGUCUGCCGUGCGAACUGGUGGACUAGAACACUGUAGAGGCAGGUGGAAUUCCGGGUGUAGCGGUGGAAUGCGUAGAGAUCCGGAAGAACACCGGUGGCGAAGGCGGCCUGCUGGGCAGUAGCUGACGCUGAGGCGCGACAGCGUGGGGAGCAAACG